CGACCUGAGAUCAGACGAGA
Molecule: ribosomal RNA, 20 nt
Filed under: Spirosperma ferox
Lineage: Eukaryota; Metazoa; Annelida; Clitellata; Tubificida; Naididae
Description: partial 28S ribosomal RNA
Source: RNAcentral